UUCAAAAUGGCGACCAGUAGGUGUUUACAUUUUUCAAAACAAAAACAAAAAGCUACUCUAUACCACACUCUGUCUCAGGAAAUACUCUAUAUAUGAGACGGGAAAAUUAACCUCAAAAACUCUCGGAACAAAAAAACGGGCAGCCGGUCGUCAAACAUGGUCGUUUUUGAGGAUGAUUUUCCGUAAACUAAAAAGUGUUGGUGAAACCAGAGGACUGAACUGUAGAGAAUAUUGAUGGAUAGCGUUAAAAUUAUAAAAAAAAUAGAUAAAGAUAUUAAUGUUUAUAAUGUUCAUAGUAAUUGAUAUAAGAAUAACAAAAAUUUGAAUAAGGAUUUCAGUUGAUAAAAAAAUUGAGUGUUUCGUUAUUGAUGGUUUAUCUCCUAAUAACCGUUUGAGCAGUUCUCCCUGGGAGAGAGGAACGCUUUAGAAUUGAAAUUUGACACAGAGUUGGAGAGCGAAAAAGAGAGCAAGUGAAUGUGAAUGAGAGAACCCGCAUAGCAAAAAACUCUACCUCAAAAAAUCAAAAUGAUAAUCGAACCCCUACAGAAACUGUGAUUGUUUAUGGAAACAUAGCUAUUAAGUGAAACUAUUCAAAAAAAAUAAAUAAAUUUUGAAUUAAACUAUUCAAACCAAACCUUCACGUUUGAAUGAAAAGUUACGAUAUUGGUUAGGCUUAACUUACUGUUUGGACUGUUAACGAAAGCUUUUUGUUAACCGUAAAAAUAAUGCCGAACGAUUACAUCUAACGUUCAUAUAAAUUUGACACUUUUCGAUUUUCGGGAUGAGAGUUGUCAUGUUUCGAGAAGAAGAAAAAAAGAAUAAGAAAUUGUAAAAAAAGAUUUGCUGGCGAAUUCGCACCAGCAGCAAUUUUGGAGGAAAUUUCGGUACCGUAGCUGCAUCAACGUACCGGAAAGCCGGCGCACCGGGAGCCGAAAUCAGUGCAGUUAGGUGUAGCAGUUAGGCUAAUAAUUUCAGUUUUUCAGUGUCGUCGAUGCUGCUCUCUUAUGCAGCUCAAGUCCGCCGCCGGGGGGAUUUCCCUCGCUGGUGGCGCUAUUGCAUUGCGCCCAGCAUCCAGGUCAGAGGAUUAAUAAAAAAUCAAAACCCUGUAUGCAAGUAAGUUGGAAUAUAAAAAUUAAACGUAAA
This is a long non-coding RNA of Uranotaenia lowii, 1143 nucleotides long. RefSeq lists it as uncharacterized. NCBI's taxonomy places the organism in Eukaryota, Metazoa, Arthropoda, Insecta, Diptera, Culicidae. The transcript has 2 exons. The record is from RefSeq and is a predicted model, not a curated record.